RNAcentral lists this transfer RNA (90 nucleotides) under Gimesia chilikensis. RNAcentral describes it as "tRNA-Ala". The record is from RNAcentral. Lineage: Bacteria; Pseudomonadati; Planctomycetota; Planctomycetia; Planctomycetales; Planctomycetaceae.
GGCCCGCUGGGUCAUGGAAAAGAUGAUGGGCAUUCAUCGGCAUCGAAAGUUGCCCCUGUUUUCCCGCAGAUCGUUUCUGCGGUCGGUCCC